RNAcentral lists this ribosomal RNA (497 nucleotides) under uncultured bacterium. Its description in RNAcentral is "partial 16S ribosomal RNA". It matches the Rfam family "Bacterial small subunit ribosomal RNA", at positions 28 to 507 of the family's 1533-position model. The record is from RNAcentral.
GAUGAACGCUGGCGGCGUGCCUAAUACAUGCAAGUCGAGCGAACAGAUAAGGAGCUUGCUCCUUUGACGUUAGCGGCGGACGGGUGAGUAACACGUGGGUAACCUACCUAUAAGACUGGGAUAACUUCGGGAAACCGGAGCUAAUACCGGAUAAUAUUUUGAACCGCAUGGUUCAAUAGUGAAAGAUGGUUUUGCUGUCACUUAUAGAUGGAUCCGCGCCGUAUUAGCUAGUUGGUAAGGUAACGGCUUACCAAGGCGACGAUGCGUAGCCGACCUGAGAGGGGGAUCGGCCAAACUGGAACUGAGACACGGUCCAGAAUCCUACGGGAGGCAGCAGUAGGGAAUCUUCCGCAAUGGGCGAAAGCCUGACGGAGCAACGCCGCGUGAGUGAUGAAGGUCUUCGGAUCGUAAAACUCUGUUAUUAGGGAAGAACAUACGUGUAAGUAACUGUGCACGUCUUGACGGUACCUAAUCAGAAAGCCACGGCUAACUACGUG